AUACGGAGGGUGCAAGCGUUGUCCGGAUUUAUUGGGUUUAAAGGGUGCGUAGGCGGAAGAAUAAGUCAGUGGUGAAAUCCUGCGGCUCAACCGUAGAACUGCCAUUGAUACUGUUUUUCUUGAGUAAGGUCGAGGUGGUUGGAAUACGUAGUGUAGCGGUGAAAUGCAUAGAUAUUACGUAGAACACCAAUUGCGAAGGCAGAUCACUAGACCUUAACUGACGCUGAUGCACGAAAGCGUGGGGAGCGAACAGGAUUAGAAACCCCAGUAGUCC
This 274-nucleotide ribosomal RNA is filed under the name uncultured bacterium. Its description in RNAcentral is "partial 16S ribosomal RNA". It matches the Rfam family "Bacterial small subunit ribosomal RNA", at positions 523 to 796 of the family's 1533-position model. The record is from RNAcentral.